Molecule: long non-coding RNA, 1054 nt
Filed under: Equus asinus (donkey)
Lineage: Eukaryota; Metazoa; Chordata; Mammalia; Perissodactyla; Equidae
Description: lncRNA (ENSEASG00005033796.1)
Source: RNAcentral
GGGGAGCCGAUGUCCAUCGCUGCCUGAGGUUUCACAGAAGAACAUGCACCGAACAGAUCCCUCUGUUCUGCUAAAAAUAGGCUAUAAAGGAGUCGGCCUCAUGAUGGCUCCUUGAUUCAAUUUGCUGCAAAUUCUUUCCUGAAAGCCUCCCCCCACAUCCACACACACAGCAAAAGGGGGUGUCAGUGCACAUUUUCGGGGACCACAACAUCCUAAGGGUGAGGAUCCCCCGAGACCAGGAGAGGGUAGGGGGUGGGCAGGCACGUGAGCAUUUCAAAGAAGCCUGAGCGAGGAAAAAGGGGGGAUGGGGCGCCCCGAAUGCCUUCCCUGCCUUCCCCUCCCCCACCCAAGCCCCAGCUCCCCAAAGGGCCAAGUUGAAAAAUGCAGGUUCCACCGGCGCCCAUCCCCCCGCGGCCCGGCGCCCCCGGCUGCCGCCGCCCGCGCCCCCCCGCCCGGCCCGCGGCCGCCCCACCCCGGGGUCCGGCCCCCAGCGCUUACCUGGAAACGGUGGCCUCCGACGCCGCUCCCCCCUCCCGGGAAUGGAGGCACAAGGAAAUUCCCCUCCUCGCCGCCGCCGCCGCCGCCUCCAACCACCCCCAAAAUAACCCCUCCGGGGGGUGAGAGGCAAUUAUAACCCCGGCGAGCGGAGGGCGCGGGGGAUGGGCGCGGGCGGGGGCGGGCGGGGCGGGGAGGGCGGGCGCGGGUCCCCAGGUGGCGAGCGGAGGUGCUCCCGCCGCGGGGGAGGGGCGGGGGCGCACGCGGCCGGCGGCGGGGGAGGCGCGCGCGCGGGGGAAGGGCGCGAGCGGGGAGAGGAAUUGAGGCAGAAGGUAAAAGCUGUUACUAAGGGAAAGAGCCAAACGGUUCGGAGCAGCCAACGGCUCAGACACUCAACACUGGGGAGAGAGGAAUGGGGACCAGCCAGGCACAAAUGAGCUCGCGAGGCCCGCGGCGGCGACGGCCGCGCAGCAAAACAAACCCGAGCGGCCUGCGCCGGGCGGGCGGCGGGCGCGCGGGGGAGGGGCCGGCGCGGGGGAGGGGCGCGCGGCCGCGGGAG